UGGGGAAUAUUGCACAAUGGGCGAAAGCCUGAUGCAGCGACGCCGCGUGAGGGACGAAGGUCUUCGGAUUGUAAACCUCUUUCAGCAGGGACGAAGCGAAAGUGACUGUACCUGCAGAAGAAGCACCGGCUAACUACGUGCCAGCAGCCGCGGUAAUACGAAGGGUGGAAGCGUUGUACGGAUUUAUUGGGCGUCAAGAGCUCGUAGGCGGUUCGUCACGUCGGAUGUGAAAACCUGGGGCUUAACCCCGGGCCUGCAUACGAUACGGGCGAACUAGAGUUCGGUAGGGGAGACUGGAAUUCCUGGUGUAGCGGUGAAAUGCGCAGAUAUCAGGAGGAACACCGGUGGCGAAGGCGGGUCUCUGGGCCGAUACUGACGCUGAGGAGCGAAAGCGUGGGGAGCAAACA
Molecule: ribosomal RNA, 407 nt
Filed under: uncultured bacterium
Lineage: Bacteria
Description: bacterial SSU rRNA
Rfam family: Bacterial small subunit ribosomal RNA
Source: RNAcentral